RNAcentral lists this unclassified non-coding RNA (234 nucleotides) under Clostridioides difficile. RNAcentral's name for it is "16S-23S ribosomal RNA intergenic spacer (ISR)". Lineage: Bacteria; Bacillati; Bacillota; Clostridia; Peptostreptococcales; Peptostreptococcaceae. The record is from RNAcentral.
ACCUACUGUUUAAUUUUGAGGGUUCGUUUUUACGAAUACUCAAAAUUAGCACUUUUAGCAACAGAAUAAACUGAACGCAUGUGAAGUUUGUUUGUUGGCGACGUGCUUUAGCACUUUGAAAACUGCAUAUAUAUUUAGUGAUAUGACAUCUAAUUUGUAAUAUAUAAAGCUGAUAACUUUUAAAAUUAUCGAAGUUGAUAGCUUCUAAUCUAUCAAACCUUUUUAACUGGUCAA